Molecule: ribosomal RNA, 301 nt
Filed under: uncultured bacterium
Lineage: Bacteria
Description: partial 16S ribosomal RNA
Rfam family: Bacterial small subunit ribosomal RNA
Source: RNAcentral
CAGCAGCGCGGUAAUACAGAGGGUGCGAGCGUUAAUCGGAUUUACUGGGCGUAAAGCGUGCGUAGGCGGCUUCUUAAGUCGGAUGUGAAAUCCCUGAGCUUAACUUAGGAAUUGCAUUCGAUACUGGGAAGCUAGAGUAUGGGAGAGGAUGGUAGAAUUCCAGGUGUAGCGGUGAAAUGCGUAGAGAUCUGGAGGAAUACCGAUGGCGAAGGCAGCCAUCUGGCCUAAUACUGACGCUGAGGUACGAAAGCAUGGGGAGCAAACAGGAUUAGAUACCCGAGUAGUCCCUGUCUCUUAUACA